AACGUAGGAGACAAACGUUAUCCGGAGUUACUGGGCGUAAAGGGCGUGCAGGUGGUCUGUUAAGUCUGGCGUGAAAGCUCCUGGCUAAACCGGGAGAGGUCGUUGGAUACUGGCGGACUAGAGGACGGUAGAGGCGUGUGGAAUUCCGGGUGUAGUGGUGAAAUGCGUAGAGAUCCGGAGGAACACCAGUGGCGAAGGCGACACGCUGGGCCGUACCUGACACUGAUGCGCGACAGCAUGGGGAGCGAACGGG
RNAcentral lists this ribosomal RNA (253 nucleotides) under uncultured bacterium. RNAcentral describes it as "partial 16S ribosomal RNA". It matches the Rfam family "Bacterial small subunit ribosomal RNA", at positions 524 to 776 of the family's 1533-position model. The record is from RNAcentral.